This 414-nucleotide ribosomal RNA is filed under the name Ophiostoma trinacriforme. RNAcentral's name for it is "eukaryotic LSU rRNA". It matches the Rfam family "Eukaryotic large subunit ribosomal RNA", at positions 1 to 419 of the family's 3401-position model. The record is from RNAcentral. Lineage: Eukaryota; Fungi; Ascomycota; Sordariomycetes; Ophiostomatales; Ophiostomataceae.
UUGACCUCGAUCAGGUAGGACUACCCGCUAACUUAAGCAUAUCAAUAAGCGGAGGAAAAGAAACCAACAGGGAUUGCCCCAGUAACGGCGAGUGAAGCGGCAACAGCUCAAAUUUGAAAUCUGGCCCCCCGGCCCGAGUUGUAAUUUGGAGAGGAUGCUUUUGGCGCGGCGCCGUCCGAGUUCCUUGGAACAGGACGCCACAGAGGGUGAGAGCCCCGUACGGACGGACGCCUAACCUUUACAAAGCUCCUUCGACGAGUCGAGUAGUUUGGGAAUGCUGCUCAAAAUGGGAGGUAAAUUUCUUCUAAAGCUAAAUACCGGCCAGAGACCGAUAGCGCACAAGUAGAGUGAUCGAAAGAUGAAAAGCACUUUGAAAAGAGGGUUAAAAAGUACGUGAAAUUGUUGAAAGGGAAG